AAACUUACCAGGUCAAGACAUGGGCGUGAUUGACAGGCUAAUGACUUUUCUCGAUUCCAUGGAUGGUGGUGCAUGGUCGCACUUAGUUGGUGCAGUGAUUUGUCAGGUUUAUUCCGGUAACGAACGAGACCUCGGCCUUGUAAAUAGCUAUGCUGCUUACAGGGACAUUGGCGGCUACGCCAAGGAAGCUCGAGGCAAUUGCAGAUCUGGAAUGCCCUUAGAUGUCCUGGGUCGCACGCGUGCUACAAUGACGCCACGAACGAGCUUGCGUGAUGAAAGUUACGCAUAAUCAGCAGUCGGCGUCUUAAGGGAUAGUCUCUUGUAACUGUGGGACUCCAACUAGGAAUGUCUCGUAAGCACAAGUCAACAUCUUGUGUUGGUUACGUCCCUGCUCUUUGUACACACCGCCCGUCGCUCCUACCGAUCGAGUGUUUAGGUGAAUUUGAUGGACGUAAGGAAGUCAAAUAAACCUGAGCACUAGAGAAGAGAAGUCGAGCAUC
This 500-nucleotide ribosomal RNA is filed under the name uncultured Myrionecta. RNAcentral describes it as "bacterial SSU rRNA". It matches the Rfam family "Eukaryotic small subunit ribosomal RNA", at positions 1211 to 1798 of the family's 1831-position model. The record is from RNAcentral. Lineage: Eukaryota; Ciliophora; Litostomatea; Cyclotrichida; Mesodiniidae.